UCAAGUGUUUUGUUUGUUUCCCUUGGAUAAAAGUGACUCCGAUUUUUAAUGGCUCCUCUCAAAGAUUAACAUCUCUUCACUAAAUACAGAAGAAUUCCAUAUGUAAUGAAUUUCCGGCCUCCAUGAAAACAAAAUGGACUCUUUCAUGCUGUCUCAACAUAUGAAUACAUUGCUCUGUCACCUGGGUGUUAUUACCGACUUAAAUCUGAAAGAAGCUGGACACGGCAGUGGUGUGUGGGUGCCUGCAGUCCUGAGGAGCUGGGACUGUUUCCCGAACAAUGCCUUUCCACCACACACGGUGGUUGUGAGGGCCAGCUGAGGCAAAGCCCUCAGGAAGACCACUUAAGCCCAGGAGUCCAGCCUGCGCAAGACACUUUUUUUAGGCUUCUGCCACCACAAAAUGUUACUUGGAAAACUAGAUCCCAGCAGAUGACCUGUACUUCUCUGCUCUCUCCCCUACUGCAAAGAGGCAGCGAGUGCAGCAUUAGUAAGCCUGACUCAGGGGAAGGUAAGUGGCCUGCAGAGAAAUGGUCCUAGGUCCGCAACUGAGGCGAGUGAACUUGUCGGACAGAUGAAGACUCUAACUGGAAGAAACAAUCAGCGCAUUCACGGAUGCACCACCAUCCAGAAAUCUCCCGGUGGCUUCCAUACAAAAACUGAUGUUUCUAAAGAUGGAAAGAACAGGUCUAGGAGGCAGAAGAGUAUCUCCUAGCAAAGUGUUCUGUAGCUCAAAGGGCAGUCAGGAGCACGUCUUUGAAUUCCUCGCAGACGAUGUAUCCAUCAGUCCUGUGGGGACACAACGCGAUGUCAACCCUCGAACCUGCUGCCUGCUCUGCCUCUCCUCCCUCCCCAGUUUGCGGAAGACAGUGGGCCACAUCUGAGCACUAGGGGGUCCUGAAGGAUGUCGCGGGUCAGCCAGUGUCCCACACCCUCCGUGCAGAAGGCAGG
Molecule: non-coding RNA, 948 nt
Filed under: Pan troglodytes (chimpanzee)
Lineage: Eukaryota; Metazoa; Chordata; Mammalia; Primates; Hominidae
Source: RNAcentral